Molecule: long non-coding RNA, 1923 nt
Filed under: Macaca fascicularis (crab-eating macaque)
Lineage: Eukaryota; Metazoa; Chordata; Mammalia; Primates; Cercopithecidae
Description: lncRNA (ENSMFAG00000058578.1)
Source: RNAcentral
AGUAACUCACGGAUACCUAGAAGGGCCCAGUAAAGAGUUAACAGCAGCGGCCCGGAUCUGCCAGUGAAAUUCGCAUUUAUUUAGUACAGAUUAAAUAACAAAGGUCUUGAGUAAACACCACUAGAAGGUAAUUGACAUUGCCGACCUCCCCAAGAGUAGUUCCCCCAGCAUAAGAUUAAAUGUUGGUUUUAGGACCGCCUGAGUAAACAAGUUAUUUAGAUAAACUCCUCUACAUUCUUGUGUAUCUAUGCCCUAAGCUUUUAAGAUAAUUCAGCUUCCUUCGGCCAAACCUUUUACUUGAAGCUAUGCAAACCACAAGGUUCCAAGGUUUGUGACUCUUUCCUAUAACUAUCUUUAUAAUUUUUCUCCAAAAAUAUUUCCCACCACCUUGACCGAAGUCCCACAGUUGAGAAGACAGGGAAGAGCAUCAAACAAGCAAGAAAAAAUUAGAACAAUUUUGACCAUAAGAAAGUAAAAUGUUGGUCAGGUCUUUCAACACAGAUCAAAAUAAAAGGGAGAUUAGGGCCAUGCUAUGAGGACACUGAAUGGCAGCCUAUGUAAUGGGAACUUUAUCCCACAGAUAAGAGAAGUCACUGGAAAGCUUUGAAAAGGUCACAAACAUGACAAACAGCAUUUCCAGGAAGAUUACUGUGACCAAUAUUAGGCAAGAGAAGUUGGGAAAUGAUCUUCAACUUUGGACACUUAAUAGAAAUAUCUAAAAGAUCUAUAUUUCUUUUCUUUCCUUUUCAUGUUUAAUUUUGAAAUAAUUUCAGACUUUCUAAAAUGUUCCAAAAAUAGGAAAAGUCCUCAAAUGCUUUUCAUUCAACUUCCUUAAAUAGUAACAUUAUAGAUAUGCACCUAAUAAUCAAAAUCAAUAAAUGAUUAUUAACACUGUAAAAUGAAAGCCUGUAGAGACCUUAUCCAAAUCCCCUCUAUGUUCUGACUAAUGUCCUUUUUCUGGACCAGGAUCCAAUCUAGUAUCACAUAUUGCUCUUCAUUGUACUGUUCCCUCAGUCUUCUUUAGUCUGGGAAAGUUAGGAUUUACCUUUAAGAGCUUCAAAAUUUUGAAGAGUAUUGGUUACUUAUUUCAUAGCAGACCCUCAUUUUGGACUUUUCUAAUAUUUUCUCACGAUUAAACUCAGGUUAUACAGUUUGUAGAAGAAUACCACAAGGAUGAUGCUGCACCUCCUCCAUCUAUUAUAUUAGAAUGCCCUAAGAUGUCGUCAUCUCUGACUACUGGAGACGUUAACUUUGAUCACUGGGUUAAAGUUCCUCCACUGCAAAAUGACCCUUUUCUUUCAAAGCAUUUUUAAACAACCAAUCUCUGGGCUACAUCACACAUUAGCCAAAUCAGAUAGGCUUGAGGGAUGGUACAGGCAUUGGUAGGCUUUAAAUGCUCUACAGCUGACUGUAAUCAAUAUCUGGAAAUGGAAACAUAUGGCUUAGACAGUGAAGAAUAGAAUCCUGAAAAUCAGCUAGGAGACCAUUGCUAAGGCUUCUCUUAAAAAAAAAAAUCUAAUUCUAAACAAAAGCAAAUAGAUGUGGAUUUUGGCAUGGACAUAUGGUAGAGAAAUUGAGGAAAAAUAGAAAUCACCUGAUGGGGAAAGAGAUGCGUAAGCAGACUGCAGUCCAAUUAAAAAAAGAAAAGGCAGAAUCAGGUGUGGUGACACUUGCUUGUAAUUCCAGCAUUUUGGGAGGGAAAGUGGGCAGAUCACGUGGGCCUAGAAGUUUGAGAAAAGCCUGGGAUUUCACCAGCCUGGGUGAAACCCCAUCUCUCCAGAAACAAACACAAAAAAUUAGCUAGGCAUGGGGGCACGUGCCUGUGAUUCCAGCUACUCAGGAAGCCGAGGCAGGAGGAUCGCUUGAGCUCACAAGGUUGAGAUUGCAGUCAAUUAUGAUCUCGCCACUGCACUUCAGCCUGGG